RNAcentral lists this long non-coding RNA (11985 nucleotides) under Octopus vulgaris (common octopus). The record is from RNAcentral. Lineage: Eukaryota; Metazoa; Mollusca; Cephalopoda; Octopoda; Octopodidae.
UUAUUUCUAUAUUUUCUCCUUAAUUAUAAGAUAUAUAAUUUUUUACAAUCUAUUCUUAAUUUUGAAAAGAUUAUAACAUUUUAAUAAUUCUCAACUUUUGUCAAAUUUAUCGAGAAACUCAGUAUCUUGUCAACAAACUUUGACUAUCUUCAAGAUCUGGUUUGUCAAAAAAUUUACUGCCUUUUUCAAGAAUUCUGCUGUUUAUUUUGAGAACAUGUCAAGAAACCUACUGCCAUGCUCUAAAUCUCUUGUUCUAUCCAAAAUUCUUCAUUGACGUUUUAAUAAACCCAUUUUCCAAGAAGCGAAAACAAUCUUGUAGCUUCAUAAGAACUUAUAACUUACCAUUUUCAUUUCCUGUCAGCAAGUUCCUUACCUUGAUCGCAAUUUUGUUAACCAUUUUAGUAUUUUAUCAAUAAUUCUUGUGUUCAGGAUAUCUGGUAAUGUGUUCAUGUCAAUUCUGUGAAUCUGUGUGUUAAAUAGCCUAGGGAGCUUCUCUCAAGUGACUAUAGUAUCUUGUCAAUCCCUGAAAAGUAUUGUUGAUUUGAUACUGAUAAUUUAAUCAAGGAUAAGAUAAACAUGAAUUUAUUUGAUUGUAUUUUAUUCACUAAAAAAGCAACAUCUCAUAAUGUAUGUUAAGUGCCUGUCUACAGUUUGAGGGCCGUCUUGAGCAAAUUAAUAUUUAAAUUUUGAAAGGUGGCAAACUGGUAGAAACAUUAGCAUGCCAGGCAAAAUGCUUAGCGGUAUUUCAUCUUUAAGGUGGUGAGCUGGCAGAAACAUUAGCACACCGGGUGAAAUGCUUAGCAGUAUUUCAUCUGCCACUACAUUCUGAGUUCAAAUUCCGCUGAGGUCGACUUUGCCUUUCAUCCUUUCAGGGUCGAUAAAUUAAGUACCAGUUACCCACUGGGGUCAAUAUAAUCGACUUAAUCCAUUUGUCUGCUCUUGUUUGUCCUCUCUGUGUUUAGCCCCUUGUGGGUAACAAAGAAAUAGGUAUUUCGUCUGCCAUUACGUUCUGAGUUCAAAUUCUGCUGAGGUCGACUUUGCCUUUCAUCCUUUCAGGGUCAAUAAAUUAAGUACCAGCCACAUACUGGGGUUGAUCCAAUUGACUGGCUUCCUCACCCAAAAAUUUCAGGCCUUGUGCCUAGAGUAGAAAAGAAUAUAUUUUCAUCCCUUCAGUUAUAAUUCCAUAUGAUCAAAUCAAUCAACUGUGCUUCUGUUGCACUUAUAGAGAAACAGACUUAAUACCUUAUGAAUUAGAUAGCUUAGAAUAUCAAAUUUAAUUAUACUAAUUAUCAAAUUUAUUUAUACUUAAUGAUGAUGAUGCUGCGAGUGUGACAUUAACCCUUUCGUUACUGUAUUUAUUUUGAGAUGCUCUGUGUUUCUUUCAAUUACUUUAAAUAUAACAAAGAAUUUAGUAAAAUAAUUCAGUUAUCAUUAAGCUAUUGUUAGGAACAUAAAUUGUGACUAAGGUUUGGUAGAAGAUUUUAAUUCAAAACUUAUGAAAACAAGACAUUUGUACAACAGAGCCAGAGUCAGUUUCAGCCGGGUUGGUAACGAAAGGGUUAAAAUAGAAAACUAAGAUUUAAAUGACUGCCCUUGAAAAAUGAUAAUUUCAGAUUUCUUUCUGGAAAUGCUUCUGGUUUCAAGACUUUAAAGCAAGCAAUGUUGUGUUUUUCCUGUUUCGGAAUUAGAGAACAUUGGGUUUAUUUUCAAGCAAAAAAAUCUUUUCUUGAAUUUGGAUAGAUCUAGAACAUACAUAUAUCCGUUAGCAUUCAGAACACAUAUAUCUCUGGAACAUUCUCUCAAAUGUCAAAUUUUUUAUUUAUUUACAUUCUUUUGAAUUAAUCAUGGAUUAUCUCAUAGCUUCAAGAUUUUGAUGGAAUUUAUGUUUUUAGCAAGACAUUGUCGGUUAGGUGCAAGAGGUCAGAUCUGGCAGAACAUAAAACAAGCUUGAACCAGCCAGUUUAAAUGCUAAAAGAAUUUAUAUCUAGAUCAUACUUAGUGCUUGAGAGAGUGUUGGGAUAAGGGUUAAAAUUUUAUCUUGCUCAAGAUGACCCCAAACUAUAAGUGGAUACUAUUGGCAUUCAGAUAUCAUGGGAUGUUAUAUUUUCAUUAAAUAAAAUACAAUCAUAUUUCUCUCAUUCUUCAUUAAACUAUCAAUUAUAUAUCAGAAACAUUCUUGAAAUUGGCAACAUAUAGUCACAGACUUCCAUGUUAUAUCAAUCAAAAUACUUUGCUUCCCCCAUUUCUCUCUCUCUCUCUGUCUCUGUGUUAGAGAGGCUCCCUAGGCCCUUGAGCUUAAGAAGUUUCAAUAAAAACCAAGUGUCCCUUAAAUACUAACCUGUUGUCUGAAAUGAGGAAGGAGACAUUAGGUAAUAAUACGCUUACAGACUGCUAAAACAAAGGUGGUAGGGACAGGACUUGAAUGCUUUUGAUCAUCUGUUUAAACAAUAAGGCUCUCCCUCUCUCUCUCCUUCUCCUCUCCCCUCUCUCUCCUCUCUCUCAUUACCUUUUUACUCUAACUCUCUCUCCUCUUCCCCUCAUUACUUUUUUACAUGCCCCCUCACUCUUCUCUCCCCAUUACCUUUUUGUUCUCCCCCUCAUUAUCUUUUUGGUCUCCCCCUCCCGCCUCAUUACUUUUUUGCGCUCCCCCUCAUUAUCUUUCUGCCCCCCUCUUCUCUCCCCCCUCAUUACCUUUUUGCUCUCUCUCCUCUCUCCUUCUCUCCCCCCUCAUUACCUUUUUGCCCCCCCUCUCCCCCCUCUCUCUCUCUCUCUCUCCCUCUCUCUCUAUGUAAUUCUCCUCUCUGAAAUUGUUGCAUUUAUAGGUAUUGGAUAGGCUCAGAGAUGGACAAAAAGCUUUUGGCCUUAAAAGAAUUGUCUGACAGCAAUUUAAAAAUAUCAAACAGACCCAACAGACUAACAAAUUGCAUUUAUAUAAUAACAUUUCUCUGUUGUUGUUUAAACUGGGUAAUAAAUCCAGCUAGAUUUGCUAAUUAUAAAAAUUAAUUUUCAAUUUCCUCUGAAAUCAAAUUAAUAGUCUUUAAGCUCACUUUUAAUGUAAUAUACUAACAUGUAUAACUUGGUUUGAAAUAUCAGUACAUCUUUGCCACAUGUUUUAUGAUCACAUGGAGGUGCACACACACACACACACACACACACAGAUGGAUAUUCCUGAACAGACACACAGAUAUAUACAUGUACACAUGUAUUUCCAUUUCAUUUUAAAUUGUCUGAUCUAUUUUCUUUAUAAAUGGAAAGAAAGGAACUUGCUGUUACAAUUUAUUUUGAUCUAAUUGUAAGCUCUGAAUAAAAAAUUUUAAAAAAAAGGAAAAAAUGUAUCUUCCAUCUCGCAAUUGUCAAAUUUAAUAAGAAAAAUGAAAUGUAUUUUUAUUAGAGAUAAAUCUAUACGAUAACAAUUUGUAAACAAAAGAGGUUCUUUUGUAAACAAAAAUUAUAUUUGUAUUUAUUUUGUUUAUACAACAAACUGAGAUCAUUUCACGUUUCAUAACUUGUCAAUCUUUUAAUCUCUUAACCCUUUAAUUAUGGCAGUUGUCAAUUAGGGAUUUACCAAAAGCAUGCUGAGAGGAAUGGAAGUCGUUAAGAAAUGAUGCUGAUUGUCAUAACAUUUGUUUUUAAUGUAUGAAAAUUCAAUUUUUAAAUAUUAUAAAUUUUUAUAUUACAUUAAUUCAAAUUACUAAUUUUCAUAUUUUUUUAAUUUUGCAACCAAGGUGAUAAUGCCCAAAUAUUAAUUAAUGUACCUAAAAAAAAAAAUAAGCAGUCAAAGGUUUGCAUACAUACAUGUAUGUGUGUGUAUGUAUGUAUGUAUGUGUGUGUGUAUAUAUAUAUAUAUAUAUAAAAAAAAUGGGACAAGAACGCAAAACAUCCAGACAGAUGAUACAAAAAAGGAACAAGAAAAAACAAGGACGGGUCAUUCGGAGUUUUCUUUCCUCAGUCGAGUUCCAGAUUAUCUUUGCAAUUUCAGCUGGUUAUACUCGAGAUUGCUCCAAUCUGGCCAGCCCCAAGGAAAAACUAAGCAAAGUGCACUAGAUUCCUUGGAAGAAAGCAGCGAAUGUAUACAAAAACAAGGAUGGAAAAAAAAUGGAGAAAUGGUACACAAAUACAAAUGCAAAUAACAGGACAUUAACAACAGGUGUCUUUCGACUAAGGACGAAUCAGACCAAUGUUACUGGAAAAAAAUUAUAUUUGUUAAACAUUAUUGGUUGCUCUAUUUCUUUAAACAUUUGAAUACAUUUUAAAGAAUUUACUUUUUAUUUGUGUAAAGAAAAUAAUGCUGAUGCCUGGUUACAAAAUGUUUCAUAUAUAUAUAAAUAUAUAUCUAUUUUCUUUUUUAAGAAUGAAAUCUUUAUAAUUAACCUUUUAGCAUUAAAAUUAGUCUAUCAAAUGUAAUGCUUAUGUAUUCAUGUUGUUUUGAACUAAUCCUACAUCAAUCACACACACACUCACUCAUAUCACUCAUAUGUAAUCAAUCAAAAUUCAGGAAAAGUGAUAGUCAAAGUGUCUUUAUUUAUAUGGAAUAAAUACUUUCCCAUCUCUCACUUCUGAUUUUUAAAUUAUCUUUACACUCCAGUUGCAUUUCUUGGAUUUUCAGGUGCAAAGUAACAUUAACUUGCAUUAUAAACUUAAAAACUUGAAUUUAAUUACUAUGUUACCUGAUAGCCAAACACUAGCUGGAGUGCUUACUGUGAGUUACAUUUGAUUCUCUGAAUCUAUUUUUUUUCAUUUGUGUGUGUGUGUGUGUGUGUAAAUGAAUCUAACAAAAAAAAAAUUUUUGAAUUUGUAGCAAAAAUUCUUCAUAAAAAAAAUGAAUUCAUUGUACAAAAAUUAAUUUAUUUUACAUUUUUACGAAAGUGUGCAUUUGAACUAAGAUAUUUAUGGUACAAAUUUUGUAUUUUGUAAUUUUUAUUAAAAAAGAAUUAUUCCCUCUCCUCUCCACAUACUCCCCUCAGCAAUAUUAGAAUACAAAUUCUUAAAAUUUAGAAUUUGAAAUUUAGAUGUUUUCCGAGCUGUUUUCAUUGUUUUCAAUUUAUUGACAUUAAAAAAAAAAACCUUUUUGAUGAAAUUAAAAUCAUUCAACUUAUAUUUAUUCACUUUUUUAAAAAAAUAUAUAUUCAUGAUUUUAAUAUUAGGCAAGCUGGCAGAGUAGUUAGCACGCCAGGCAAAACGCUUAUUUGUAUGACGUCCAUCUUUAUAUUCUGGGUUCAAAUUCCACCGAAGUCAAUUUUGCCUUUCAUCCUUUUGGGGUCAAUAAAAUAAGGACUAGUUGAGCACUUCCCUUCCCUUCCCUUAAAAUUGUUGGCCUUGUGCCAAAAUUUGAAACCAUUAUUAGGUGUUAACCCCUUGCCUCUCCAAAUUAUUUUCACAAGUGUAUCCUAAAUGCCCAUGCUUUUUUUUUAUAGUUAAUCCUUGUUUUAUACAUUCUGAAUAAUAAAAGCUUUCCUUUCAUAAGUUACUCUGGUGGUUGAAAAAAUGCCGGGAAUGUGUAUCAUAUCUGAUGCCAGGGAAAUAUAUCUUGAGUAUCACAUGCAAUACACAGGACAGGCAAUGGUUAAAUACUAAUCUUCAGAAAUGCUUAAUGGUAUUUCAUCUGCCGUUAUGUUCUGAGUUUAAAUUCCACCGAGGUCGACUUUGCCUUUCAUCUUUUCGGGAUCGAUUAAAUAAGUACCAGUUACACACUGGGGUCGACGUAAUCAACUCAAUCCCUUUGUCUGUACUUGUCUGUCCCUCUGUUUAGCCCCUUGUAGGCAAUAAAGAAAUAAGUGUUAAGUUAAUGAAGACUAGGUCACACGAUACAUUUGCCUUAGAUUACUAACUAGUAAUAUAAAUAAUUUAGGAUAAUACCAUAUUCUAAGCUUUUUUUUGACUCUGUCGGGUUAAAUGAGAAGGAAAGUAAAUUUUUAAAAAGGCCCACAAAAGCAAACCACACCCAAGCAAUAUAAAAAUGCAUAUGAAUAUAAAUAAAUCAUUAUCAUUAAAGAACUGAAUUGCAUCGCAACAAACCUAACAAAAUUGUUUGCAGACAUUAUUCAGUCUUGAAAUUAUAAUUAUUCUGCUCGUUUAACCAAUUAGCGUUCAGGUUAUUCUGUCAAAUGUAAUUCUUAUUUAUUCACAUUGUCUUGAAUUAAUCUUGAAUUAUCUCAGAGCUUUGAGAUUUUGAUGGUGUGGUUGUUUGGUUUUUAGAAUGACAUUGUAAGGUAGGUGCAAGAGGCGAUAUCUGGCUGGUUUGAACAUAAAACAGGUUAAAAAAAUUCAGGUAGGAGAUGGCCAGUUUAAAUGCUAAAGGGUCAAAAUAAUUGGGGAUGUGUAUCAAUUAUGAUGUGUAAACUCCAUAGAAAUAUGUUCUGUGCAUCACAUGUGAUACACAGGCAAAGGGUCGAUAUUGAUGACAGUGGCAGAAAUGUUAAGGGUGCAUGUGGUAGUGGUGGUGUUGAUGCUGGUGUUAAUGAUGUUAGAGUUUAAGGCAGUGAGCUGGCAGAAUCGUUAGCAUGCUGGAUGGGGUGCUUAGUGGUGUUUCACCUAUUGCUAAAUUCUGAGUUCAAAUUCUGUCAAGGUUGACUUUACUUUUCAUUCUUUUGGGGUCGAUAAAAUAAGUACCAGUUGAUCCACUUUGUUUGAAGCAUUUGACUUAGCCCCUCCCCUCAAAUUGCUGACCUUGUUCCAAAAUUUGAAACCAUUAUUGAUGUUAGAGUUUCUUGAAAUCCAAGUAGAAUCUAAUGUUAUGUUGGAAGAACAUUUUUCUUUGAAAAUGGUACAGCCAUGGUUAUGUGGUUAAAAUGUUUGUUUCCAAAUCAAAUGUUUUUAGGUAGAGUCAUGGCUGGAUCAAGAACUUGCUUAAUAAGGAUUGACUUAGCAUGGAAAAACUGGUGUAAAACAGAGUUCUGCCUAAAAUGUUUAACCUUUUAGUAUUUAAACAUGUCAUAUUCAGCCGAAAUAUUCUACCUGUUUAAUGUUCAAACUGACCAGAUCCAGCCUCUCACACCUAUCCUACAAUAUCAUUCAAAAAAUAUAUAAUCACACUAUUAAUCAAAUUUGAUGACUGGCAUCCGUGCUAGCAGGGUGCAAAGAGCAUCAUACGAGUAUGAUUGUUGACAGAGCGGCUAACUGGCUUCUGUGCCAGUGGCACCUAAAAGGCACCAUUCGAGUGUGAUCAUUACCAGCGUCGCCUUACUGGCACUUGAGCCCCGUGCUAGUAGGGUGUUAAGAGCACCAUCCGAGUGUGAUCGUUGCCAGAGCGGCUAACUGGCCUCCAUGCAAAUGGCAUGUGUAAAAGAUUCGAGCAAGGUCGUUGCCAGUACUACCUGACUGGCCCCGUGCCAGUGACACGUAAAAGCACCCACUACACUCUCGGAGUGGUUGGCGUUAGGAAGGGCAUCCAGCUGUAGAAACUCUGCCAGAUCAGAUUGAAGCCUGGUGCAGCCAUCUGGUUCGCCAGCCCUCAGUCAAAUCGUCCAACCCAUGCUAGCAUGGAAAGUGGACGUUAAACGAUGAUGAUGAUGAUGAUGAUCUCAUGAGAUAAUCCAUGAUUAAUUCAAGACAUGGUAAAUAAAUAAACAUUACAUUUGAUAGAGCAGUCUGAUUGUUAAAGAGUUAACCUCACUCCUUUUCAUGGCGUGAGUAAUUGACUGUUUUACUAAUUUUAUUAAUUGUCUUUUACCAACAUAAAUCCUCGUUAAUUUCUGCAGAUUCUUGUAUUUUCCUUAACUUGGUCUACUCUGGUAUAUAAGUGUAAUCAAGCAGUUUAAUUACUUGGUCCAUUAUUUUGUACUUUUAUUUUAUUUCUCAACCAUCCAUCCAUCUCCUCCGCCCACUAUUCCUGAAAGGGUUGCAGGGGUAGGGUCCUCAGGUGCCUUCUCCAUAGGGCCCUAUCAGCAGCAACCAUCAUUACACUUUCCAACUGAAUUACCAAGCAUGACCAGCUGAUACUGUGAUUUAUUAUCAAACCAUCUUGUUAUUGGUCUACCCUUUUGCCUCCUGCUGAUUAACAUGGCUUCAAGAAUUCAUCUUGUGAUUCUUUCUUGCAACAUUCUAAUCACAGGUCCUCAGUUCCAGAGCUGUGACCUCUCAAUGCAGAGAAGUAGUUGCUCACAUAUGCCAGUGGAUCUGGAAGGACACCAAAGUAAUCACAAUCUGAGAUGAGAUGAUAAUCUGAGGUGAUAAUCCUAAAUUUUUUUUUUAAAAACAGGAGACAGGAGAGGUGGCUCUAAUUAUGAGGAAUUGUCGCAUUAAGCAUCCCUAGUAUACAUUAGUGUCUAGAAAAGAGAUGUAGGGGAAUUGUUGAUCCCAAGCUGGAGAACAGUGUGGCUUCCACCUUGGAUGCAGCACAACUGAUCUAUUUUAUUAUUCUUUUAAGGAAAUCAACCAAAAGGAUUACGUAUUUUCACAAGAACAUUCUAAUUUGGGGCAAAACUCCCAAAUUUCAUAUAAUGACUUUUUUAUUAUUCAGAAAGUAAACUUGGCACCCGUGCCAGUGGAGCACUAAAAGCACCAUCCGAGCGUGAUCGCUGCCAGAGCAGCUGACUGGCUUCUGUGCCAGUGGAACAUAAAAAGUACCAUUCAAACAUGAUUGUUACCAGCGUCGCCUUACUGGCACUUGUGCCAGCAGCAUGUGAUAAAAAAAGUUUCAAGCGAGGUCGUUGCCAGUGCCGCUGGACUGGCCCUCAUGCUGGUGACACGUAAAAGCACCCACUACACUCUCGGAGUGGUUGCCAGAUCAGAUUGGAGCCUGGUGCAGCCAUCUGGUUCACCAGUCCUCAGUCAAAUCAUCCAACCCAUGCUAGCAUGGAAAGCGGACGUUAAACAAUGAUGAUGAUGAUGAAUCUUAGUAAGGACAAACUUUUAAUGUCAGUUCAUGACCUGCUACCCACCUUCCACCCAAAGACACACCUUUAUAUGAUCAGGGUGGUAUUCAUUGCAUUUAGUUAUUUUUUUAUAAAUUACGUUUUUUACCUUCUUUGGAUGAAUAAUUAAUUAUAAAAAGAUAUUUUUUCUGAAAACAGCUUUUUUUUUUUGAUAAAAUCAAUUGAAUUGAUAAGUUCAAAGUAAAUAAAAGAAAUCAUAAUCAUUCUCACAGACAUGUAUGCACAUACACACACAAUUCCAUAUUUUCUAUUAUAAUCCCUACUUCCCACAAAACGAAGUCAUCCACCAUGUUAGAAAUAGCAGCCAAAUCUGCCUCAUAUCAGCCUACCAUCUUAAAGAAAUAAAAGGCUAUGUUACUUUGGAUAAGGAUAUAAUUUUGGAUAGACGAGCCUGGAAAAAAAUAUGUAGGAUGGUCACUAUUGGAUUAUCUUUUGAUCAUAAAUCUAUUUGAUGAAGACUGACCUCAGGCUAAAAACCCCACAACAACAGCAACAAUAACAACCUCUGCUCAGCCACUUUAUACUAUAAACAUUGAUUUAUUAAUAGUCUAUGUCCGCUCUAUGUAUCUCCCAACACUACUAUAACAGCCUCUGCUCCUAUAAACUUAUCAAGUAACAACACUUCCAUGCCACCAGUCUCUCCCCCACCACUUCUGUUUUCUUCAAGAACAACAGUUUUUAACCUGGGAGAAAUCGCCACCACCAUAGGGUGGAGGGGUAAAAUUUGGGGGAUUUCAGCAUGGAACCAGAAUCUCACUUUUUUAUGGUCCUGAUUCUCGGUCAACAUAAUUUCACUUCCCUGACCCCUUUGGUUGUCUUUGAGAAAAAUGUGCUCUUUUUUUCACAUCAUUUCUUCCCCUGAAAGAUACUUUGUGCCUAGUCAAAUAUUAUCAGAUUUUUAUGGGAAAAUACCUUGUGGUAUUAUAAUCCUAUCCUUUUAUCUUUUUGCUUUCUUCUUUUACUUGUUUUAGUCAUUAGUUUGUGGCCACACUGGGGCAGCGCCUUGAGAAAUUUUAGUCAAACGAAUUGACCCCAGUAUAUACUUUUUUGAAGCCUGCUGCUUAUUCUAUCGAUCUCUUUUGCCAAACCACUAAGUUACAGGGACGUAAACACACCUACACCGGUUGGUGAGGGACACAUACACACACACAUAUGAUGGGCUUCUUUCAGUUUCCAUCCACUAAAUCUACUCACAAUUCUUUGGUCAGCCCAAGGCUGUUGUAGAAGACACUUACCCAAGGUGCCACACGGUACUGAACCCAGAACCAUGUGGUUGGGAAGCAAGUUUCUUACCACUCAGUUACACCUGCGCCUUUUUACAUUCUGUGUUCAAAUCCUGCCUAGGUCAACUUUGCCUCUCAUCCUUCUGGGCUCGAUAAAAUAAAGUACCAGUACUUGAUGUAACCCACCCAAGUACUGUUUAACCCCUUCCCUCAAAUUUCAUAGUACAUGUGUUUCAGUAGAAUCUUUAGUUCAUCAGACAAAUAUUUAUCCAACUCUUUAUUGUACUGUGUUCAAAUCCUGCCAUGGUAAACUUAGCCUUUGAUUUUUUUUUUAGGCGGGGAGGGGGUUCAAUAAAUUAGGUGCCAGUCAAGUACUGGGGUCAAUGUAAUCAUCUAAUUCCUUUCCUUAAAAUUACAGGCCUUGUGCCAAAAUUUAAAACCAUUAUUAUUAUUAUUAUUGAUGGUGGUUUAAGCAAUAUUAUAUUUAGAUAAUAACACGAAAUAAUUUUAUUAAAAAAUUUUUUAAAAUUAUAAUAUAAAUAAUGAAUACAGAAUUAUUAUUAUUAUUCAAGGCAGUAAGCUGGCAGAAACAUUAGCACGCCGGGUGAAAUGCUUAGCGGUAUUUCAUCUGUCUUUACAUUCUGAGUUCAAAUUCCACAGCAGUUGACUUUGCCUUUUCUUUCGGGGUUGAUAAAUUAAGUACCAGUUACGCACUGAGAUCGAUAUAAUAGACUCAUUCCCUCCCCCCCAAAAUUUCAGGCCUUGUGUCUAUAGUAGAAAAGAUUAUUAUUACUAUUAUUGGUGGUGGUUUAAGCAAUGUCAUCUUCAGAUAAUCACAUGAAAUAGUUUGAAAAAAAAAAAUAGAAAAAAUUAUAAUAUUAAUUAAUAAAAAAUGACUACAGAAUUAUUAUUAUUAUUAUUAUUAUUAUUAUUAUUAUUAUUCAAGGUGGUGAGCUGGCAGAAUCGUUAGCCUGCCAAGCAAAAUAUCUAGCGGCAUUUCGUCCGUCUUUAUGUUCUGGGUUCAAAUUCCACCAAGGUUGACUUCAAUUUUCAUCCUUUCAGGGUGGGAGGGUCAAUGAAUUAAGUACCGGUUAUGUACAGGAGUCAAUGCAAUUGAAUAGAACCCUCCCCCAAAAUUUCAGGCCUUGUGCCUUUAGUAGAAAGGAUUAUUAUUAUUAUUAUUAUUAUUAUUAUUAGUGAAACUAGCAGAAUCAGUGGAGUUAUCAGUAAAAAAUGCCUUACAGUAUUUGUAUUGGUAGUUUACAUUUUAAGUUCAAAUCCCACCAAGGUCAGCUAUGCAUUUCAAUAGAAUACCAGUCAUGUAGUGAGGUUUAUACAAUGAGCUUGCCCCUCCUUUCAACGUUGCUGCCUUGUGCUUAUCGUAGAAAGAAUUAUUAUUAUUAAUUAUCAUUAUUAUUAUUAUCGUCAUUAUUAUUAUCAUUAUUAUUAUUAUUAUUAUUAUUAUUAAUUAUCAUUAUUAUUAUUAUUAUUAUUAUUAUUAUUAAUUAUCAUUAUUAUUAUUAUUAUUAUUAUUAUCAGAUGCUUUAUUGCAGUGAAGUGGGCUUGUAAUCGGUUUGAAUCGCCAGCUGGAAAUGCGUGUCACCUCCCUAAUGGUUAAAUGUAAAAUCCUUUUUGUUGUAAUUGAAUUAUUUGGUAUGAUGAAUUUCCCAGGAGUUAAAAAUCCACAGACAUGUUUCCGUUUUCUUCCAUUUUCCCAAACUGCUUCGUUUUAGUUGCUAAAAAAAUCCCUGGAGGAAACUCUUUGAACGUCACACAUAUUCCCCAUCUUUUUAUAUUUGAUAUUCCAUGUUUCGGUAAGCAACCGCGUAUAUUUAUUUAUGUGUUCUAUGGUGAUAUUGAAAAUAUACGAAUAAAUGAAUAUGUGUGUA